UACGUAGGGGGCAAGCGUUGUCCGGAAUCACUGGGCGUAAAGCGCGCGCAGGCGGUCUCUCACGUCCGGGGUGAAAGCCCAGAGCUCAACUCUGGGAUUGCCUUGGAUACGGGGAGACUUGAGGAUCGGAGAGGCAAGGGGAAUUCCACGUGUAGCGGUGAAAUGCGUAGAGAUGUGGAGGAACACCUGUGGCGAAGGCGCCUUGCUGGCCGAUUUCUGACGCUGAGGCGCGAAAGCGUGGGGAGCAAACAGG
Molecule: ribosomal RNA, 253 nt
Filed under: uncultured bacterium
Lineage: Bacteria
Also listed under: 1 other name
Description: partial 16S ribosomal RNA
Rfam family: Bacterial small subunit ribosomal RNA
Source: RNAcentral